GAUGAACGCUGGCGGCGUGCCUAAUACAUGCAAGUCGAGCGAACAGAUGAGGAGCUUGCUCCUCUGACGUUAGCGGCGGACGGGUGAGUAACACGUGGAUAACCUACCUAUAAGACUGGGAUAACUUCGGGAAACCGGAGCUAAUACCGGAUAAUAUAUUGAACCGCAUGGUUCAAUAGUGAAAGACGGUUUUGCUGUCCCUUAUAGAUGGAUGCGCGCCGCAUUAGCUAGUUGGUAAGGUAACGGCUUACCAAGGCGACGAUGCGUAGCCGACCUGAGAGGGUGAUCGGCCCCACUGGAGCCGAGACACGGUCCAGACUCCUACGGGAGGCAGCAGUAGGGAAUCUUCCGCAAUGGGCGAAAGCUUGACGGAGCAACGCAGCGUGAAUGAUGAAGGUCUUCGGAUCGUAAAACUCUGUUAUUAGGGAAGAACAAAUGUGUAAGUAACUAUGCACGUCUUGACGGUACCUAGUCAGAAAGCCACGGCUAACUACGUG
This 497-nucleotide ribosomal RNA is filed under the name uncultured bacterium. RNAcentral describes it as "partial 16S ribosomal RNA". It matches the Rfam family "Bacterial small subunit ribosomal RNA", at positions 28 to 507 of the family's 1533-position model. The record is from RNAcentral.